Molecule: long non-coding RNA, 2847 nt
Organism: Mauremys reevesii (Reeves's turtle)
Lineage: Eukaryota; Metazoa; Chordata; Testudines; Geoemydidae
Exons: 3
Source: RefSeq, a predicted model, not a curated record
CUUUGAGAUGUGUCCCCCUAUGGGUUAUCCACUUCAGGUAUACAUGUGCCUCUUGAGCCUUUGAUGGGAGAUUUUUCAUUAGCAGUGUCCAUUCAGCCUGUGCAUGCGCUCUAUAUAACCUUAUGCCAUGCUGCAACAGUAUAUAGUGCUGCACAGGCGAACUGCCCUCAGUUCCUUCUCUAUCCGAAUGUCCAUCAAAAACAGUCUGAAGCAGAGGAGAUAGUGAAGCACCCGGCAGGGGACACAUCUCAAAGAGCCACAGUUACUACACAAGGCGAGUAACCUUUUCUUCUUCUUGAGUAGCAUCCCUAUGGGUGCUCCACUUCAGGUGAUUCCUGAACAGUAUACUCACAAGGAGGAAGCUUCAGAAUCAAGUCGAAGACUGAAGACAGUACAGCAGAACCAAGUGCUGCAUCAGAUCUACAGCAUGGACCGAGGCAUAGUGUUUAGAAAAAGUACCCACUGAAGUCAUAUAGCAGCUCUGGAUAUCUCACACACUGGAAUGUUUUUGAAUAAAGCUGAAGAAGUUGCUUGCGAUCUGGUAAAGUGUGCUAUAAUCCUCUGGGGAGACAAACCACUGGCAGCACCACAGCAAGAAAUAAUACACUCAGAGAUCCAUCUCAACAGUCUCUGUGAAGAGAUCAUGGACCCCUCUGAUCCAUCUACAAUGGAGACAGAAUCUAGGUGAUAUCAAAAAUUGUUUGGUCUUGUCCAGUUAAAAGGCCAAUGCCCAUCGUACAUCAACAUAUGAAGGGAAGUCUCCCACUGAGAUUUAUGUGGUUUAGGAAAAAAUAUCGGUAGAUGAAUAGACUAAGAUGUAAAUUUGACAGCAACCUAGAUAAGAACUCUGGGUGCAGUCAUAGGGAGACCUUGUCCUUGAAAAAUACAGUAAGUGGGAGAUCUGCGAUCAAGACUACAAUUUCUCCAAUCCUGUGGGCUGGUGUGAUAACUACUAGAAAGGAUGUCUUAACAGAUAAGUGAGGCAAGCAGCAAGCUGCCACAGGUUCAAACGGAGGUCUGAUACGGUAUCCAAGUACCAGAUUGAGAUCCCAUGUCAGAGUAGGAUCCUUAACCUGGGAAUAAAGAUUCCCCAGACCCUUAAUAAACCUCAAGAACAGAGGGGGAGAAAAAAUAAAAAAAACCUCUAGUGGGGAAUGAAAUGCUGGUAUUGUGGCGAGAUUAACCGAGAUAAUUGAUAAAACCAAAUUUUUAAAUCCGCCAGAUAAUUCAAGUUGGCUGAGAACAAAGAAGAUUCAAGCACAAGGUAGUGACAGUGACACUAGUGGUUGAACAUUUUCCAAAUCUGAAGGCAAGUAAUAUGAGUUGACUCCCUUCUACUGUUUAGUAAUACUUGUUGUAAUGCUGUUGAGCAGGUGGAUUCUAAUCCUGUGAGCCAUCUAGGAGCCAUGCUUGGAGACAGAGGACCUCUAGGUUGGGGUGAAGCAUGACUCACAUCCUGGGAAAGAAGAUGAAGAAUGGUCAGAAGCUUGAGCACCAGUUGGACACAGAGAUGAAGCAGGCAUCUGAGAAGGAGACAUUGGCUCAUCCCUUCUCCCAUCAUUCCUGCCCAUCGGAAGACAGAUGCCAGAAUGAAGAUGGAUAACUGGGGUCUCUUAAUAGAUAUGACCCAAGAGUUCAGGGUGGAAUGUCAGCUCACCAGGCCACUAAUGGAGAGGAACUGAUCAGAGGACCAUAGACUGUUUUUUAGCUAUGUCACAGUGUCUGAGAAGGCGUUUUGAACUCUUGAAGAGGAACAACUUCAGGGCAUCACUGAGUCACGUCAUCACAGUUUCUCAUCUUUCAUUCAGAUUUGUGAAAGGUAGUCUCCCUAACUCAAAGGGCAGCCGAUCUCUGUGGUUGCUGCUCUGAAAAAGGUCUCCAAAUUCUGAACGCAAGAUUCAAGGGAAAGAACCUCUUCAGAAACUGGGAACCAGGCCAUUCACAAAAUAUAUUUAGUUGGUGGUAGCAACAAAAAGGUGAGGAAGGAGCAAAGAAAUUUCUAAAGGGCUGUCUUACAGCAUCCUUAUUCUCCUAUCCAUCUGGGUUCUUCUAUAGCACCCAUCAGUGAAGCAUCUGAGUGCCUUUUAGCCAGCACCAGGUACCUGCACUGAAUCUCCAGACAGUAAGUAAGCAGAGAAUCCACCACAGACGCUUCUGCUAUUUCUUGAUUAUAUGACUGCAAGGAUCCCAACAGUAGCACAUAAAGGAUCAAACACAACUCAAUCACCAUUCUGCCCCUCUUACAAGUCUGGCUUGGAAGUCUGAAAGGCAGGAGUUUGGGUUUUUCUGAAGCAAGGCAAGAAGAAAACAGUAAUUUUCCAAAAAUAAAUUGGUAGGAUCUACAUUUUCUGGCAGCAAAAUGCCAAAGGGCCACAAUGUCACAUCACAUUCUUGACAGGACAAUAAUUUAUGGACUAAUUUUGAUGUUUGAUAGCCUCAAAGUUACAAAUAUCAUAGCUGUGAGCAAAACUGCAGGACUUUCAGUGCCAAACACACAGCUUCUAACCUAGCAAGCUAGAAGACAACUUUCCUUAGCUGAGAGCAGCAUUAAGAUUUUUGUGCAUUGUCUAGACAAAGGACUACAGAACAAGAUAAUCACUAAUGCUGGAACAGGACUAGUUCUAAUCUGAAUGGGUUUUGUUUGAAUAAAUGCUAUCACCUGUGGGAAGGUGACUGCAUGUGCAGAAACAGAGCCCAGUUUGAAGCCCCUUUGGUAUGAACCAGUUCUGGUGGAUCACACACAGACAAAUAAGGUAAAAAUAAAUAUUUACUUCCAAAUUCUUGGUUUACAUACUGUAAGUUAUUUUCAGCUCCCUUUAAUUAACUGGCCUCUCCCAAUAGGAGAUG